AGAAUAUCAAUGUCUUUAGGUUUAAGGAUUUGAGCCCUGUUUUCUUGAAAAGAGAAUCAUGGCAGAGAAGAUAACAAGCUUUAGCUUCUUCUCUUGCUGCCUCCAGAGUCAGUUUUGGAGGGAUAUAAUGAAUUGCAUGAGGCAAAGCUCUUCUCCGAGCCCAGAAGAAUCCUCAUUUGGAACUCAACAGAGAGACAGCAACUGAGGGGUAGGGAGGGAUAAAAACAGGAGGGAAAGAGGGGGAGAAGGGGAAAAAAGGAGAUAGAGAUGGGGGGUAUUAUAGGAACAAAAGAUUUAUUUCUCAUUUGACUUGUUUGACUAAUGGAAUAUACCAGAAUAUACUUAAAAAAAUUAAUAGGACUAAGCUAUUCAACAGAAUCAAAAGUUGGGUACUAAAUCAACUAUUUCUGUGCUAAUUAUUGCAUAACUCAGGGACCAAAAAAUAAAUUUCCCUUCUAGACUUCAUGAACGAUAAAAAUUCUUACAAACAUUAUAAGAAACACAAUUUCUCUAACGUGCAUCACUGUAAUGAUCAAAGGUUCUUUCUACUAGUAAAUUCAUUCUAUAGGAGGCAGGCCAAUGUUCCUG
RNAcentral lists this unclassified non-coding RNA (588 nucleotides) under Hevea brasiliensis (rubber tree). Lineage: Eukaryota; Viridiplantae; Streptophyta; Magnoliopsida; Malpighiales; Euphorbiaceae. The record is from RNAcentral.